This 311-nucleotide ribosomal RNA is filed under the name uncultured Pelobacter sp. RNAcentral's name for it is "bacterial SSU rRNA". It matches the Rfam family "Bacterial small subunit ribosomal RNA", at positions 223 to 525 of the family's 1533-position model. The record is from RNAcentral. Lineage: Bacteria; Pseudomonadati; Thermodesulfobacteriota; Desulfuromonadia; Desulfuromonadales; Desulfuromonadaceae.
AGAUGAGCUCGCGUCCGAUUAGCUAGUUGGUGGGGUAAAGGCUUACCAAGGCAGCGAUCGGUAGCUGGUCUGAGAGGAUGACCAGCCACACGGGAACUGAGACACGGCCCAGACUCCUACGGGAGGCAGCAGUGGGGAAUUUUGCGCAAUGGGCGAAAGCCUGACGCAGUAACGCCGCGUGGAGGAUGAAGGCCUUCGGGUCGUAAACUCCUGUCAGGGGGAAAGACAGGUACUUGUUAAAUAGACAGGUACUUAGACGGUACCCCCAAAGGAAGCCCCGGCUAAUUCCGUGUUUUUUAGCCGCGGUAAUA